This is a non-coding RNA of Rattus norvegicus (Norway rat), 5029 nucleotides long. Lineage: Eukaryota; Metazoa; Chordata; Mammalia; Rodentia; Muridae. The record is from RefSeq and is a predicted model, not a curated record.
GUUGAGCCUUUAAGCAGUCAAUAAACAAAAAGUAAACAUUUAUUUAAAAUGCAUAAGAAGCAUGUCUAUGCACUGUACAGAUGGUCACUUGUCACCUUACAUUAGAAAUGAGAGUAGGAUAAAAGUCAGCACAUGAACUGGUCAGCUAAGAUGCUGGCAAGACUUUGAGAUGAUCUCACCUCUGGCACAAGGACAGAUGUUCAAAACCAGGAAGGCUCUCCUGAAUGGCAAACAAUACAUUCCUCUUAAUUAUACAUCAGUAGUCUCCAAGUUCAACUUCCUUUCCUCUCUACUAAGACCAUGCUAGCUACAUGACCACAAUGCAUUAAAGCAAAGGAAGAAAGGGCAAACACUUAAAUGAUGAUGGAGAAAUGUUACCUCUGAAAAUAACUAUGCCAACAAUAUAGAGACAACACCUAAAACUAUCCUAUGGUACUAGAACGAAAUAACAUAGCAACAAACUAGGUGAAAUGAACUAGCCUGCAAUACCAGUAUUUGGGAAGCUGAGGUGCGAAGAUUGAUCUUGAAGCUUAAAAAAAAAAAAAAAAAAAAAAAAGAGGGAGAAAGAAGGAACAAUAAAGAGGGGAGUUGAGAGAGGGAAGAAGAAAAGAAGGGAGGAAAGAUGGGGGGAAAUACCAGUUUGGUUUCUGUUGCUGUGAUGAAGCACUAACCAACAGCAACUUGGGAGUAGAAGAGUUCAGUUCACCUUAUACUGAGGAAAGAGCUCAGGGAAAGAACCUGGAGGCAGGAGCAGAAGCUGAGACCAUGGAGGAAGUAAGUACACUGCUUACUGUCUUCUUCCCUUGGCUUCCUCAGCCUGCUCAUACAUCCAGGACCACCUGCCCAGGGGUGGCAUCUCUCAAGAGAACUGGGCAUUCCCACGUCAAUCAUUAACCAGAAAAUGCUCCAAAGGCAUGCCCACAAGCCAAUUUGAUUGAGAGGUAGUUCCUCAAUUGAGGUUUCCUUUUCUCAGGUGACUCUACUUUGUUAAGAUGGGAGAGGAAAGAAAAAGACUACAUAUAUAUGUAUGUGUAUUAAAAAAAAAAAUCAACCUCCCCACUCACCUCUGAUUAAGUCAACAUCAAUCAAGUCUGGUUUUAUAUGGCCCAUUUUUUUUGGUUUGUUUUUGAAACCCUAUGAUAAAACGAAACAAUAACAGAAAUGAGCCAAGAAAACACAGUUCUUUCAAGAGUAAAAGAUAAAACUUCUUUUUGGUGUGAUAGCCAAGCCUGUGAGGUGCAUCAGAGGUACUGCUGCUGUCUGGUCUCCUAAUCUGAGCACUCUUUACAGAGUCCCAUUCUUUGGGGAAACUCAAGCCAUGCACUGUAAUUACCUUCUCUUGUGCACAAUGUCAUCAGUUUUUAAUUUAUCAGAGUAGAGCUUAAAAACUUAGGGCUUCAUAAUAGGAUAGUUAAGCUUGGGCCCCUCCAUUACAAAAAUCAAGUGUCAAUACUCAAAAGUGUUUUUUCUGGAGUCUCAAGGAAUCCUCCAAAAUUCUCCUUGCUUGAGAGUUAUGGGCUGGGCAAUUCUGGGUGGGAGUUUGCAGAUUAAGCUAAAGAGUUUUAUUAUCUUGCUUUGUAGUGAACUUCUCCUGGAGCCUCUUCAAUACAUUUUAUCCAAGGCCCAGAGUUCAUCUUUGUCUUGGACAAAACAAGAUGCCUCCACAGUCUCAGACUCUCAGGAAACCUGUGGGUAAGCUAGCUGUCCACUCAGUAUUCUCCUGAGACCCAAUUUAUAUCUAUAAGGAAUUUUAUCUAAGAGGUUCCUCUUAAGUCCUAUUUCUUAAUAUUGUGAUGUAUCCAUUUAAUAAAAUCCAUUUAUGCAUUCACUUUAUGUAAUUUAGCCAUGAACAUCUUUUCAGAGAACAAAAAACAAAACUGUUCUAGGACUUGGUCUUUAUUAUUUCAUAUUAAGUAGCUUAAUCAGCCAUGUUAUUCAAUGCAAGAAUUCUAGAGUAGUUGCAACCUCAAGUUUCCAAUGGUUCACUGUUACUUCAGAGAGGUGGCAUUUCCUGUUUUCUCAGGUUGUUAGAGGAAAACUGAGAAUCUGAAAAUCACAAUAACCUUGCCAUAUAGUAAGUAUAUAUUUGUGAAUUAUCUUUUGAUUUUAUUCCAAACUUUUGGUUUGUCAAACACUUAUUGCUAUUAAUUUUGUAAGAAAGAAAUUUAAGGUAGAAUGAUGGUUCAGUGGAUAAAACAUUUGCCACUCGAGUGAGAGGACCUGAUUCUCAUCCCUAGAACCCAUAAAAAGCCAGACCCAUAUCACACCUUUAUAACCCCAGCACUCCUGUGGUGAUGUAGGAGGCAGAAGCAAGAGAAUCCUCAGCUUACAGACCAGGUGUUGGGCAUACAAAUGCCUAACAAGAAACCCUGUCUCAGACAGUGAAAAGCAAGGGAUGAUACUUAAAGUUGUCCACAAACAUGCUGUGGUACACAGAGACCACACUCACACAAAUACAUGUAUGCUGCAUGUGUCAUAUAUACAUUAUGGGGAGGGGGGAGAGAUGACCUCAGAGGUUAUGAGUAUUUGCUGCCCUUCCAAGCAACCAGGCUUUAGUUACCAGCACAUACAUGGCAGCUAACAACCAUCCAUUCCUCCAAUUCCAGGGAAUCCAGCAUUCUCUUGUAGUCUCCAAGGAUAGCCAUGCAUGUCAUUUAUAGACAUAUAUUCAGGCAUGACACUUGUCUUAGUUAAGGUUUUACUGCUGUGAAGUGACACCAUGACCACAAUAACUCUUAUAAAGAAAAACACUUAAUUAGAGCUAGUUUACAGUUUCAGAAGUUUAGUCUGUUAUUAUCCUGGUGGUAUGCAGACAGACAUGGUACUAGAGAAGGAGAUGAGAGUUCUACAUCUUCAUCUGAAGGCAGCAGGAAGUGAAUGAGUCAUACUUCCUCCAACAAAGCCACACCUACUCCAACAAGAAUACACCUCCUAAAAGUGGCAUUCUCUAUAGGCCUAUUAGGGUCAUCUUUACUCAUAAACAAAAUAAAACUUAAAAGUGAGAAAAAGAUGAAUUUUAACUUCUGCUCAACCAUCAAAGUUAGUGUAAAAGGUUAAUAGCAUGUUUGCUCUGCAACAAGAUGACCUGAGUUUGACUCUCUAGGUCCCACAUAAAAAGCUAGGCAGUGCCUGUAACCCCAGCAUUAAGAGGGAGACAGACUCCCAGAGCUCAAUAGCAAAGGUCUAUAUAACAAGGUUCCAAUACAAUGAGAGACCUUCUCUCAAGAUAAGUCAGAGAAGGAGAGCAAGACACCUAAAUUCCUACUGGGAACUCCUGAUGCACACCCAGGGACCCCACAGCUAAAGAAACCAAAGCCCAGAGAUCCAAACCAAGUUAGCCUCAGUCUUAAUCAUUACAUAUCCUGUGUCUAAUACAUGGAACCAAAUGCAUCCCACAGCAAAAAGGAGAUUUUGUUGGAGAUGAAACAAUAUGGCUUGACCUUGAAAGCUUCAAUGAAUAAACCCUGGGAACUGUAUGUGAUUUCCUCAUUGGUUGCAUGCAAUCUCUAUCCUCAUAGGUAAAGACUGAGGAAGGAAGUGAGACACUUCUGCAUCCAUUGCCUGUGUGGCAGCCUGCACCCUCCCACAGUAAGCCCUAACAAAAGCCCUAACUGUGAUACCAUGUCACUAGUUUGAAAGCACCUUACAAAAACUACAAAAACCCUGGACAGGUUACUGCAAUUGGGACACAACCCCUGACUUAUCACCUAAAGGAGGGAACAAAACACUGGUCAAACUGCCACCAUAUGGAUGUACUGUAUAUGUACUAGUGAAUAAAAGAAACAAGUGAAGCUCUGAAAUUCCUACGUGCUCAAUUUUCAUUUUAUUGCCACUAAAAGAAUAAACCUACAAUAAAGUCUGGGACAAAGGGGGAAGCAACCUUUGACUCCUUAGUGUACACUGUGCUAUGGUUUGGAUCUAAGAUGCUUCCCCAUGAGCUUAACAUUUUUUCACCUGUUAGUGGUGACAGGGCAGGGGUUAGGGGGAUGGAAACUUUAGGAGGUGAGGCUUCAAUGUAGUAAGUCAGUCUCUGGUGAUGUGUCAUUGAAGGUUAUACCUGCUCCCAAGUUCCUUCCUCACUUACUGCUUCCUGUCCAUAAGGUGAGCCCUCUCCUACUCAUGCUCCUGUUUCCAUGAUGUUGAUCCUUACAAGGAGCCCAGAAAAUGGAGCCAAGAGCCCAUGAGCAAAAUAAAUCAUUUCUCUUUUUGUUGUUUUAUCAGAAAUGGUGUUAGAGAAGUGAGAAAAUAAUAAGAGAGCAUACUGUCAAUGGCAAAAGUAACGGCAUGUAGAAUACAACACGAUGAGGACUUGUGUAACACACAUCUAACUCAACUCACAUUUAAAAGUGAAAAAAAAAGCCAGAGAAAGAUUUCUCAAGGAAAAUAAUGCCUGGGAAUCAAACUCAGGACUUCAGGCGAGGUGACACGAGCGUGAAGUUGCUGAGUCACCUCAUGCCCCACUUCUUGAGUGUCUUGUUCUUGAGUGUCUUUGUCCAUGUUCGUUUAUAUUGUUUAGAGAUCUGGUAGCAACUUUUUGACUAAAUUUAUUUUGAGUAAUUUUUUUCUUGCUCUUUUGUUUGUGAACAGGUGCUCUAUCACUGGGCUAUACCCGUAUCCUUGCCUUUUCACCUGUAACUUUUUUUUUACCUUCUAGUUAUUCUUCAAAGACUUUCUAAAGUUGGUAGAUGAAACUUCAUAUUUACAAAUUAUUUUUACAAGUGUUGCAUUUUUAAAAUGGGAUAAUGAGUAUAUAACAGAUGAGCCUUCUCCUUAAGAGUGACAGGUAAACAUAUUUUGAUAUAUGUGUGCAGAUGGUCCCCUUAAGACUGUUCAAUUUAGGGCUGGAGAGAUGGCUCAGUGGUUAAAAACACUGUCUAUUCUUUCAGAGGUCCUGAGUUCAAUUCCCAACAACCACAUGGUGGCUCACAACCAUCUGCAAUGGAAUCUGAUGGCCUCUUUCGGUGUGUCUGAAGACAGUAACAGUGUACUCACAUAAAAUAAAUACAUAAAUCUUUAAAAAAAAAAAAAA